This 787-nucleotide ribosomal RNA is filed under the name Shigella flexneri. RNAcentral's name for it is "bacterial LSU rRNA". It matches the Rfam family "Bacterial large subunit ribosomal RNA", at positions 1 to 821 of the family's 2925-position model. Lineage: Bacteria; Pseudomonadati; Pseudomonadota; Gammaproteobacteria; Enterobacterales; Enterobacteriaceae. The record is from RNAcentral.
GGGUUGUGAGGUUAAGCGACUAAGCGUACACGGUGGAUGCCCUGGCAGUCAGAGGCGAUGAAGGACGUGCUAAUCUGCGAUAAGCGUCGGUAAGGUGAUAUGAACCGUUAUAACCGGCGAUUUCCGAAUGGGGAAACCCAGUGUGAUUCGUCACACUAUCAUUAACUGAAUCCAUAGGUUAAUGAGGCGAACCGGGGGAACUGAAACAUCUAAGUACCCCGAGGAAAAGAAAUCAACCGAGAUUCCCCCAGUAGCGGCGAGCGAACGGGGAGCAGCCCAGAGCCUGAAUCAGUGUGUGUGUUAGUGGAAGCGUCUGGAAUGGCGUGCGAUACAGGGUGACAGCCCCGUACACAAAAAUGCACAUACUGUGAGCUCGAUGAGUAGGGCGGGACACGUGGUAUCCUGUCUGAAUAUGGGGGGACCAUCCUCCAAGGCUAAAUACUCCUGACUGACCGAUAGUGAACCAGUACCGUGAGGGAAAGGCGAAAAGAACCCCGGCGAGGGGAGUGAAAAAGAACCUGAAACCGUGUACGUACAAGCAGUGGGAGCACGCUUAGGCGUGUGACUGCGUACCUUUUGUAUAAUGGGUCAGCGACUUAUAUUCUGUAGCAAGGUUAACCGAAUAGGGGAGCCGAAGGGAAACCGAGUCUUAACUGGGCGUUAAGUUGCAGGGUAUAGACCCGAAACCCGGUGAUCUAGCCAUGGGCAGGUUGAAGGUUGGGUAACACUAACUGGAGGACCGAACCGACUAAUGUUGAAAAAUUAGCGGAUGACUUGUGGCUGGGGG